AAUCAAUUGAAAGGCGUUUCUAGGUUUGCAUCGUUUUCUACUAAACAAAUUUAAUUACUGAGUAAGUUCAUCCCUGAUUAGAAUGAACAAUUAUUGUAUUAGGUGACAAAUUUUGGGUUGGCAAUAGACAAAGAUUCAUGGGGAUUGCAUGAGUCCUGGAUCAAUUAUGUAAGAAAAUAAAUUGCUUUCAAGCUAUAAACAGUUAACAGACAGUGACAUAUAUAUAAAACUCAUUCAUAAAACACAUUGAAAGAAAAAACAAAGCAUACAUGUAUGGAUCUAACAUUGUUUUAGACUUUACAUUCUUCUAAGUAUUUUAGGAAAAAACUUCUGUAAAUCGUUUCAAAUUGAAGUUGAGGAUGAAGAUUGAAGACCUCGAUGAAGAAGAAGCUCUAACAUAGAUCUCGGUUUGCUGGAAGUGCACUAACAGGUGAUAGACUAGUAAGUCUUUUUCUUUUGUGGUCAAUCAAUAUAUCUUUGGAUUGGAGGUGGACAUUUUUCUAUAGUAAUUUAACUCUGUUGAGAAACUUCAACGUUAAGUUUGUUUUCAUUAAUGUUUUUGCAACAAACAAUUAUCAGUGUUUAUCUUCUUCAUACAAGAUGUUAUUGAGAAUCCUUUAACUUAUUUUUACUUUUGAUCACCUUGGAGUUUUAACAUCAAACUCAAAAUGAGUGUUCUUAAUAGGAAAAAUCAAUUGACUUAUUUAUAAAAGGAAAUUGAAAUAGGUGUACCUCUAUUUGUACCAACCUGGUCAAAAAAAAAAAAAAAAAAAGGGAGAAAAAGGGUCCAUGAAUGCUUCUUAGUUUGUCUUGAAUGUUGAUGCAAGUGAUAAAUAUCAGUUGUUGAUGUAUUAUUUGAGUCCUUAUAAAAAUCAUACCGAUACAUACUUAUAUCGAGUACAAAGUAUCUAGGACGGAGACUAUUCCAUUAUUAAUUUCUUUUUAGCUUGAUAGAAUAUUUUUAAUAAUGUGUGAAACUGUGAAUCUAUGAAGUGAUACCAAUAGAAUUUUGAUUUAUUUUUUGUGUAUUUCCGACUUUUUUGAUAUUCCUAAAUAUACCUUUUAAGUGUUGUUUGUGGAAUUGUUGUGGAUGGAUGUUGUAUGUCGUUAACCAACUUUAGAGAAAGAAAGCCAUUAAGGUGAUUGCAAUACCUACAGUUGUGGUGACACCCAGUUGCAACCCAAGACAACUGUACCAUAGUGACAAGUUUGGAACAAUAAGAUAGUUCUUGGAUUAACAGUAUCGUGAUGGUCACCUCAAGUCUGGAGCAUAUUCUUCACAAAAAACUUUAUAGCCUCAUGUUCAAUAUCAGCAUUGUAACUACCAAUUUGGACCUUUUUAAAUAAAGAUUUAGACCAUAUUUGUUUUUAUUGAAUUUAGUAUGAAAUCUUGGUGAACACUAUUUUUUUACGUCUUAGAUAUUGUGUUAUUAUUUUUCCAUUUGCUAUCUCAUUUGUUGAUUUGCCUGUUUCAUUCCUUUUGCUUCACAGGUCUCUCAAGAACUUUUACAAAAUAGUACCUACCAAAAUCACAUAUCGACUUGAGGCUUGCUGCUCAUUUUAUUUCUUUGUCUUCACUUACUUCAAUAUGCACCAGCACCACUGCCUAACAUUUUCUAUCCAAUAAACUCAUUGUCUAACCCUGUAUCUUCUACUUCUAAUAAUGCAUUGUAAUACUAGCCCAGUCCGGGCGUAGCCCGGGCCUUACCUGCUAGUAUGAAAAUAAGCAAGAGAUCGUUAUAAAGCAGAAAACAGCGGAAAACAGCUAUUAUAUUCCGGGACAAAUACUAAAAAUUAUAAAAAUAAAACAGAAUAAUAUAUUCGAACUGUUGUCCAG
Molecule: long non-coding RNA, 1837 nt
Filed under: Aquilegia coerulea
Lineage: Eukaryota; Viridiplantae; Streptophyta; Magnoliopsida; Ranunculales; Ranunculaceae
Description: long non-coding RNA (ACOE_LNC000465)
Source: RNAcentral